GUCUUUUGCGCACUUGUUGUUUCCUGGGCGGGGUUCGCCCGCCACCAGGACCAAACCAUAAACCUUUUUUUAAUGCAGUUGCAAUCACGCGUCAGUAAAAAACAAUGUAAUUAUUACAACUUUCAACAACGGAUCUCUUGGUUCUGGCAUCGAUGAAGAACGCAGCGAAAUGCGAUACGUAGUGUGAAUUGCAGAAUUCAGUGAAUCAUCGAAUCUUUGAACGCACAUUGCGCCCUUUGGUAUUCCAAAGGGCAUGCCUGUUCGAGCGUCAUUUGUACCUUCAAGCUUUGCUUGGUGUUGGGCGUUUUUUGUCUCCCUCUUGCUGGGAGACUCGCCUUAAAACGAUUGGCAGCCGGCCUACUGGUUUCGGAGCGCAGCACAUAUUUUGCACUCUGUGUCAGGAGAAAAGGACGGUAUCCAUCAAGACUCUACAAAUUUAAC
Molecule: small RNA, 441 nt
Filed under: Bipolaris setariae
Lineage: Eukaryota; Fungi; Ascomycota; Dothideomycetes; Pleosporales; Pleosporaceae
Description: eukaryotic LSU rRNA
Rfam family: 5.8S ribosomal RNA (bases 118-271)
Source: RNAcentral